Molecule: ribosomal RNA, 497 nt
Filed under: uncultured bacterium
Lineage: Bacteria
Description: partial 16S ribosomal RNA
Rfam family: Bacterial small subunit ribosomal RNA
Source: RNAcentral
GAUGAACGCUGGCGGCGUGCCUAAUACAUGCAAGUCGAGCGAACGGACGAGAAGCUUGCUUUUCUGAUGUUAGCGGCGGACGGGUGAGUAUCACGUGGAUAACCUACCUAUAAGACUGGGAUAACUUCGGGAAACCGGAGCUAAUACCGGAUAAUAUUUUGAACCGCAUGGUUCAAAAGUGAAAGACGGUCUUGCUGCCACUUAUAGAUGGAUCCGCGCUGCAUUAGCUAGUUGGUAAGGUAACGGCUUACCAAGGCAACGAUGCAUAGCCGACCUGAGAGGGUGAUCGGCCACACUGGAACUGAGACACGGUCCAGACUCCUACGGGAGGCAGCAGUAGGGAAUCUUCCGCAAUGGGCGAAAGCCUGACGGAGCAACGCCGCGUGAGUGAUGAAGGUCUUCGGAUCGUAAAACUCUGUUAUUAGGGAAGAACAUAUGUGUAAGUAACUGUGCACAUCUUGACGGUACCUAAUCAGAAAGCCACGGCUAACUACGUG